GCGCACCAGGCGAGAAUACUUUACAAUGUGCGAAAGCACGAUAAGGGAACUCUGAGUGCCUCCUAAGGAGGCUGUUCAGGUGUCUAAAAAGCACCUGGAGUAAGGGCUGGGUAAGACCGGUGCCAGCCGCCGCGGUAACACCGGCAGCCCAGGUGGUAGCCACUUUUAUUGGGUCUAAAGCGUCCGUAGCCGGUUGAGUAAGUUCCUUGGGAAAUUUGGCUGCUCAACAGUCAAGCUUCCAGGGAAUACUGCUCGACUUGGGACUGGGAGAGGUCAGAGGUACUCCGAGGGGUAGGGUGAAAUCCAUUAAUCCCUGGGGGACCACCGGUAGCGAAGGCGUCUGACCAGACCAGGUCCGACGGUGAGGGACGAAGGCUAGGGUCGCGAACCGGAUUAGA
RNAcentral lists this ribosomal RNA (398 nucleotides) under uncultured microorganism. RNAcentral's name for it is "bacterial SSU rRNA". It matches the Rfam family "Archaeal small subunit ribosomal RNA", at positions 330 to 733 of the family's 1478-position model. The record is from RNAcentral.